This 301-nucleotide ribosomal RNA is filed under the name uncultured bacterium. RNAcentral's name for it is "partial 16S ribosomal RNA". It matches the Rfam family "Bacterial small subunit ribosomal RNA", at positions 509 to 807 of the family's 1533-position model. The record is from RNAcentral.
CAGCCGCCGCGGUAAUACGAAGGGUGCAAGCGUUACUCGGAAUUACUGGGCGUAAAGCGUGCGUAGGUGGUGGUUUAAGUCCGUUGUGAAAGCCCUGGGCUCAACCUGGGAAUUGCGAUGGAUACUGGGCGACUAGAGUGCGGUAGAGGAUAGUGGAAUUUCCGGUGUAGCAGUGAAAUGCGUAGAGAUCGGAAGGAACAUCUGUGGCGAAGGCGACUAUCUGGGCCAACACUGACACUGAGACACGAAAGCGUGGGGAGCAAACAGGAUUAGAUACCCCCGUAGUCCCUGUCUCUUAUAC